UGUAGAAUUUAUUUCCAAGUUGUAUUUCACGGUGGUGUUUGGUUAAGUCCCUUGAGCUUCCUGCAUCAAACUCGAUGCAUGAGGUUGUUCUAGCGUGUUACAACGGUGAACGCAUUCUGUAUCUCUAUAUAUAGCCCUCACUUUUGCUUUUUGACUGAAGCCAGGUUAGCCUUUAGCUAAUAGCACACCAUUUCAAUGGAUUCUGAGGAUGAAAUUGAUGUGAAUGGAAAGCGGUAUACAAUUUAUGUUUUAUGACUGUGUAUCCAGGUUUGUCGGUUUGGAUAUAGGAUACAGUUACACAUUAUAUCCUUGGGUCGGCCGGACCAUACUUUUGUUGGCGUUGGCAUUGAGGGAAAGAUGGAAAUGUUGGAGACGCAGUUUGGGAUUAGAUGCAGAAAUGGCGUGGAAUUAGGGCCAUGGGCUGCUGAUGUAUUGGACAUUCCUCAUUUGGGAACUUGUGGUGUUGGUAAACUCGCUCUUGAAGUUCUUGGGUUUGAUCGUGAUGGAAGUUGGAGACUCUUGAGUUGGUUGUAUGAGGAUUCUUAUGGUGAUUUACUUCUUCCAACUGUCAAUGUUUGCUGUUGCUACCAGAUUGGGAGGAAAUUGUUCGAGAAACCUGCUAUUUCUGCGAAGGUAGGAGGUGUGAUUCGUAGGAAUUGGCUUGUGUGGUUUGGAUUUCGUAAGUCAAGAUUUGCAGUGUUUGUAAUGAUUUUUCUAGUGUUCGUAGGAUGUAUUAUGAAAAAGUUUAUUAUGUAAGGAGGACGGUGGAAUAGAUUAA
This is an RNA transcript of Vigna radiata var. radiata (mung bean), 778 nucleotides long. RefSeq lists it as uncharacterized. The record is from RefSeq and is a predicted model, not a curated record. NCBI's taxonomy places the organism in Eukaryota, Viridiplantae, Streptophyta, Magnoliopsida, Fabales, Fabaceae. The transcript is spliced from 2 exons.